AGGGUGUAAACGCUGCAGACUUGGUGUUGGAGGCCCUUUGGGGGCAUUCAGUGCCGGAGAGAAGUUGUUAAGUCUGCUACUUGGGGAGUACGUCCGCAAGGAUGAAACUUAAAGGAAUUGGCGGGGGAGCACCGCAACGGGAGGAGCGUGCGGUUUAAUUGGAUUCAACACCGUAAACUCACCAAGGGCGACUGUUACAUGAAAGCCAGGCUAAUGACCUUGCUUGAUUUUCAGAGAGGAGGUGCAUGGCGUCAGUGACU
RNAcentral lists this ribosomal RNA (260 nucleotides) under uncultured archaeon. RNAcentral's name for it is "partial 16S ribosomal RNA". It matches the Rfam family "Archaeal small subunit ribosomal RNA", at positions 748 to 1008 of the family's 1478-position model. The record is from RNAcentral.